This 65-nucleotide transfer RNA is filed under the name Siren intermedia (lesser siren). RNAcentral describes it as "tRNA-Cys". Lineage: Eukaryota; Metazoa; Chordata; Amphibia; Caudata; Sirenidae. RNAcentral also lists the same sequence under 1 other name. The record is from RNAcentral.
AGCCUUGUAAUGUACAGCAUAUAAAAUUGCAAAUUUUAAAGAGCAGAAUAGAAUCUGCCGGGGCU